RNAcentral lists this ribosomal RNA (1390 nucleotides) under Xanthomonas arboricola pv. pruni. RNAcentral describes it as "partial 23S ribosomal RNA". It matches the Rfam family "Bacterial large subunit ribosomal RNA", at positions 1560 to 2925 of the family's 2925-position model. Lineage: Bacteria; Pseudomonadati; Pseudomonadota; Gammaproteobacteria; Lysobacterales; Lysobacteraceae. The record is from RNAcentral.
AGCACCGAGACGAGCCUUUAUGGCGAAGUCACUGAUACCACGCUUCCAGGAAAAGCUCCUAAGCUUCAGCUCACGAAGACCGUACCGUAAACCGACACAGGUGGGUAGGAUGAGAAUUCUCAGGCGCUUGAGAGAACUCGGGUGAAGGAACUAGGCAACAUGGCACCGUAACUUCGGGAGAAGGUGCACCCUUUUUGGUGGCUCAUGCGAGCUAUAGCUGAAGAGGGUCGCAGAAACCAGGCCGCUGCGACUGUUUAUCAAAAACACAGCACUCUGCAAACACGAAAGUGGACGUAUAGGGUGUGACGCCUGCCCGGUGCUGGAAGGUUAAUUGAUGGGGUCAGCCGCAAGGCGAAGCUCUUGAUCGAAGCCCCAGUAAACGGCGGCCGUAACUAUAACGGUCCUAAGGUAGCGAAAUUCCUUGUCGGGUAAGUUCCGACCUGCACGAAUGGCGUAACGACAGCGGCGCUGUCUCCACCCGAGACUCAGUGAAAUUGAAAUCGCUGUGAAGAUGCAGCGUUCCCGUGGCAAGACGGAAAGACCCCGUGAACCUUUACUAUAGCUUUACACUGAACGUUGAGUUCGUCUGUGUAGGAUAGGUGGGAGGCUAUGAAACUGUGGCGCUAGCUGCAGUGGAGCCAUCCUUGAAAUACCACCCUGUCGUGCUUGACGUUCUAACCUAGAUCCGUUAUCCGGAUCAGGGACCGUGUAUGGUGGGUAGUUUGACUGGGGCGGUCUCCUCCUAAAGAGUAACGGAGGAGCACGAAGGUACGCUCAGCGCGGUCGGACAUCGCGCACUGUGUGCAAAGGCAUAAGCGUGCUUGACUGCAAGAUCGACGGAUCAAGCAGGUACGAAAGUAGGUCUUAGUGAUCCGGUGGUUCUGUAUGGAAGGGCCAUCGCUCAACGGAUAAAAGGUACUCCGGGGAUAACAGGCUGAUACCGCCCAAGAGUUCAUAUCGACGGCGGUGUUUGGCACCUCGAUGUCGGCUCAUCACAUCCUGGGGCUGUAGUCGGUCCCAAGGGUAUGGCUGUUCGCCAUUUAAAGUGGUACGCGAGCUGGGUUCAGAACGUCGUGAGACAGUUCGGUCCCUAUCUGCCAUGGGCGUUGGAAGUUUGAGAGGGGCUGCUCCUAGUACGAGAGGACCGGAGUGGACGAACCUCUGGUGUUCCGGUUGUCACGCCAGUGGCAUUGCCGGGUAGCUAUGUUCGGAAGCGAUAACCGCUGAAAGCAUCUAAGCGGGAAGCGCGCCUCAAGAUGAGACUUCCCGGGGCACAAGCCCCCUAAAGGAACCAUAUAGACUAUGUGGUUGAUAGGUCAGGUGUGUAAGUACAGCAAUGUAUUGAGCUAACUGAUACUAAUGAUCCGUGCGGCUUGACCAUAUAACCUCA